This 1243-nucleotide ribosomal RNA is filed under the name metagenome. Its description in RNAcentral is "bacterial LSU rRNA". It matches the Rfam family "Bacterial large subunit ribosomal RNA", at positions 1564 to 2817 of the family's 2925-position model. The record is from RNAcentral.
UGAAUACGAGACGCUAAGGCGUCGAAGUAGUGUAUGUCAUACUUCCAAGAAAAGCUUGCACUGUCAUAGAUAAAAAACGCCUGUACCAUAACCGACACAGGUGGGUAGGUAGAGUAUACUAAGGGGCGCGAGAUAACUCUCUCUAAGGAACUUGGCAAAAUAACUCCGUAACUUCGGGAGAAGGAGUGCCUUAUUCGUAAGGUUGCAAUAACAAGAUCCAAGCAACUGUUUAUCAAAAACACAGGUCUCCGCUAAGUCGUAAGACGAUGUAUGGGGGCUGACGCCUGCCCAGUGCCAGAAGGUUAAAGAAGUUGGUUAGCAAUUGCGAAGCUGAUAACUGAAGCCCUGGUGAACGGCGGCCGUAACGAUAACGGUCCUAAGGUAGCGAAAUUCCUUGUCGGGUAAGUUCCGACCCGCACGAAAGGCGUAAUGAUUUGGAUACUGUCUCGGAGAGGGGCUCGGUGAAAUAGACUUGUCUGUGAAGAUGCGGACUACCUGCACCAGGACAGAAAGACCCUAUGAAGCUUUACUGUAACUUGAAAUUGAAAUUGGACUUUAUUCGCGCAGUAUAGGUGGGAGGCGUUGAUUAUAAUCUUGUGGGAUUAUUGGAGCCAUCAGUGAGAUACCACUCUUGUAAUGUUAGAUUUCUAACUUUGAAUCAUUAUCUGGUCAAAGAACAGUUUCAGGCGGGCAGUUUGACUGGGGCGGUCGCCUCCUAAACGGUAACGGAGGCGUACAAAGGUUUCCUCUGAACGGUUAGAAAUCGUAUCUAGAGUGUAAAGGCAUAAGGAAGCUUGACUGUGAGACCUACAAGUCGAGCAGGGACGAAAGUCGGUCUUAGUGAUCUGACGGUACUGAGUGGAAAGGCCGUCACUCAACGGAUAAAAGUUACUCUAGGAUAACAGGCUGAUCUCCCCCAAGAGUUCACAUCGACGGGGAGGUUUGGCACCUCGAUGUCGGCUCAUCGCAUCCUGGGGCGGUAGUACGUCCCAAGGGUUGGGCUGUUCGCCCAUGAAAGCGGUACGCGAGCUGGGUUCAGAACGUCGUGAGACAGUUCGGUCCAUAUCCGGUGUAGGCGUUAGAAUAUUGAGAGGAGCCUUCUUUAGUACGAGAGGACCGAGAAGGACAUACCUCUGGUGUACCAGUUAUCGUGCCAACGGUAAACGCUGGGUAGCUAUGUAUGGAGUGGAUAACCGCUGAAAGCAUCUAAGUGGGAAGCCCACCUCAAGAUAAGUAUUCUCAC